CCUACGGGAGGCAGCAGUGAGGAAUAUUGGUCAAUGGACGCAAGUCUGAACCAGCCAAGUAGCGUGCAGGAUGACGGCCCUAUGGGUUGUAAACUGCUUUUAUGUGGGAAUAAAUUGGCGCACGUGUGCGCCAUUGCAUGUACCUCAUGAAUAAGGACCGGCUAAUUCCGUGCCAGCAGCCGCGGUAAUACGGAAGGUCCGGGCGUUAUCCGGAUUUAUUGGGUUUAAAGGGAGUGUAGGCGGUCUGUUAAGCGUGUUGUGAAAUUUAGGUGCUCAACAUUUAACUUGCAGCGCGAACUGUCAGACUUGAGUACACGCAGCGCAGGCGGAAUUCAUGGUGUAGCGGUGAAAUGCUUAGAUAUCAUGAGGAACUCCGAUCGCGAAGGCAGCCUGCGGGAGUGUUACUGACGCUUAAGCUCGAAGGUGCGGGUAUCGAACAGGAUUAGAUACCCUGGUAGUCCGCACAGUAAACGAUGGAUGCCCGCCGUUGGCGCCCUGCGCCUGCGGCCAAGCGAAAGCAUUAAGCAUCCCACCUGGGGAGUACGCCGGCAACGGUGAAACUCAAAGGAAUUGACGG
Molecule: ribosomal RNA, 577 nt
Filed under: uncultured Prevotella sp.
Lineage: Bacteria; Pseudomonadati; Bacteroidota; Bacteroidia; Bacteroidales; Prevotellaceae
Description: bacterial SSU rRNA
Rfam family: Bacterial small subunit ribosomal RNA
Source: RNAcentral